Oryctolagus cuniculus (rabbit) is the source of this 691-nucleotide long non-coding RNA. RefSeq lists it as uncharacterized. NCBI's taxonomy places the organism in Eukaryota, Metazoa, Chordata, Mammalia, Lagomorpha, Leporidae. The record is from RefSeq and is a predicted model, not a curated record.
UGAAUAUUGCCAGGAUCAAAUCAAGAAAUUCCCAAGCUUGGACUAAUUCCUCUGAAAUCCGAGGUUAUAGAAGAUUACACUGGAGAUAUUUGGUCCGAACUACCUUUUGUAAGCAGUGAUGACCCAGCUAUCACCUGUCUUUCUAAGAAGAGAGAGUUUGAUGAGCUCAUACAUUGGCAUUCCUCUUGACCUCUAAGUGAUGAUUUUGAAAGGACAAAAAGCAGCGAUAGUGCUAAAUCCAAAGAUGCCAAAGAAAGAAGAGAUACACAGAAACUGUAUCAUUUUUAUCAUGUGUUUGGAAGGUCUUUGGUAGGAAGUAACAGAUCAGUAAGGAUUACAAAAGUGGGCUCGCUGCCAUCUCCAGCAAAUUCUUCCGGGCAGAAGAAAAGACAACAUCAGAAGAAAAAUGCAGAAAAACUUAUUGAAGAAAAUCAAAAGAGACAACUAGCUAAACUAGAGAAAAAGGAGGAAGAGAGAUGGAAUAAUUUGUCUCUCUCUAUUGAAAAAGAAAUUAAAGAGAAUCUUCACUCUGGAAUCAAAAGACUAGAAGAUUUUCUCCAGAUAUGUGCUGUUAAAUCUGUAAAAUUUAUUGCAGAAAUGGUUGGAUUGGAUGCCUGUUUCAAAUUAUGGAAAGAAUGCUGUCUAAAACCAGAAGCAGAAUCCAAAGAUAUAAAUGUGGUAAUUCAGAUGA